AAGUCGAACGGAGCUUAAAGAGCUUGCUUUUUAAGCUUAGUGGCGAACGGGUGAGUAACGCGUGAGUAACCUGCCCUAGAGUGGGGGACAACAGUUGGAAACGACUGCUAAUACCGCAUAAGCCCACGAUCCGGCAUCGGAUUGAGGGAAAAGGAUUUAUUCGCUUCAGGAUGGACUCGCGUCCAAUUAGCUAGUUGGUGAGGUAACGGCCCACCAAGGCGACGAUUGGUAGCCGGUCUGAGAGGAUGAACGGCCACACUGGAACUGAGACACGGUCCAGACUCC
This 285-nucleotide ribosomal RNA is filed under the name uncultured Subdoligranulum sp. Its description in RNAcentral is "partial 16S ribosomal RNA". It matches the Rfam family "Bacterial small subunit ribosomal RNA", at positions 59 to 339 of the family's 1533-position model. The record is from RNAcentral. Lineage: Bacteria; Bacillati; Bacillota; Clostridia; Eubacteriales; Oscillospiraceae.